GACAGAGGUCCCAAGCGUUGUUCGGAUUCACUGGGCGUAAAGGGUGCGUAGGCGGUCGGGUAAGUCUGGCGUGAAAUCUCCGAGCCUAACUUGGAAACUGCGUUGGAUACUAUCCGGCUCGAGGAAUGGAGGGGAGACUGGAAUACUUGGUGUAGCGGUGAAAUGCGCAGAUAUCAGGAGGAACACCGGUGGCGAAGGCGGGUCUCUGGGCCGAUACUGACGCUGAGGAGCGAAAGCGUGGGGAGCGAACAGG
This 253-nucleotide ribosomal RNA is filed under the name uncultured bacterium. Its description in RNAcentral is "partial 16S ribosomal RNA". It matches the Rfam family "Bacterial small subunit ribosomal RNA", at positions 524 to 776 of the family's 1533-position model. The record is from RNAcentral.